UACGGAGGGGGCUAGCGUUGUUCGGAAUUACUGGGCGUAAAGCGUACGUAGGCGGCUUUGUAAGUUAGAGGUGAAAGCCCGGGGCUCAACUCCGGAAUUGCCUUUAAGACUGCAUCGCUUGAAUCAUGGAGAGGUGAGUGGAAUUCCGAGUGUAGAGGUGAAAUUCGUAGAUAUUCGGAAGAACACCAGUGGCGAAGGCGACUCACUGGACAUGUAUUGACGCUGAGGUACGAAAGCGUGGGGAGCAAACAGGG
RNAcentral lists this ribosomal RNA (254 nucleotides) under uncultured bacterium. RNAcentral describes it as "partial 16S ribosomal RNA". It matches the Rfam family "Bacterial small subunit ribosomal RNA", at positions 524 to 777 of the family's 1533-position model. The record is from RNAcentral.